UUAGAAUUUAUUUAUGAAUUAUUAUUCAAAUAGUA
Molecule: transfer RNA, 35 nt
Filed under: Hypoderma lineatum (early cattle grub)
Lineage: Eukaryota; Metazoa; Arthropoda; Insecta; Diptera; Oestridae
Description: partial tRNA-Leu
Source: RNAcentral